UGUAUUUGUUCCAAAUGCCUCAUAAUCAUAUCCUAGUAUCAUACUGUAAAUGCUUACAGUAUCUAAAAAUUAGUUAAAAUAUAUUAUAUGUUAAUAAAUCUAGAUGUGUGUUAGAGUGACUAGUAGAUUAAAUUAAAAAGAGUUGAUAUAAGAAACUUUACUUUGUUUUUUUACUUAUUUUGAUUUUAACAUUAAAAAAAAAUAUAGGACCUAAAUGUUUAGUAUGAAGCCUUGGAAGAAGGUGGAAGCCGAAGGAUGAAAAUCUAAACUAAUAGGAGGCUAAUU
Molecule: long non-coding RNA, 285 nt
Filed under: Physcomitrium patens
Lineage: Eukaryota; Viridiplantae; Streptophyta; Bryopsida; Funariales; Funariaceae
Description: long non-coding RNA (PPAT_LNC006247)
Source: RNAcentral